Molecule: ribosomal RNA, 515 nt
Filed under: Salmonella enterica
Lineage: Bacteria; Pseudomonadati; Pseudomonadota; Gammaproteobacteria; Enterobacterales; Enterobacteriaceae
Also listed under: 5 other names
Description: partial 23S ribosomal RNA
Rfam family: Bacterial large subunit ribosomal RNA
Source: RNAcentral
AGACCCGAAACCCGGUGAUCUAGCCAUGGGCAGGUUGAAGGUUGGGUAACACUAACUGGAGGACCGAACCGACUAAUGUUGAAAAAUUAGCGGAUGACCUGUGGCUGGGGGUGAAAGGCCAAUCAAACCGGGAGAUAGCUGGUUCUCCCCGAAAGCUAUUUAGGUAGCGCCUCGUGAAUUCAUCUCCGGGGGUAGAGCACUGUUUCGGCUAGGGGGCCAUCCCGGCUUACCAACCCGAUGCAAACUGCGAAUACCGGAGAAUGUUAUCACGGGAGACACACGGCGGGUGCUAACGUCCGUCGUGAAGAGGGAAACAACCCAGACCGCCAGCUAAGGUCCCAAAGUCAUGGUUAAGUGGGAAACGAUGUGGGAAGGCCCAGACAGCCAGGAUGUUGGCUUAGAAGCAGCCAUCAUUUAAAGAAAGCGUAAUAGCUCACUGGUCGAGUCGGCCUGCGCGGAAGAUGUAACGGGGCUAAACCAUGCACCGAAGCUGCGGCAGCGAACGUAUCACCCAA